Eurytemora carolleeae is the source of this 1323-nucleotide long non-coding RNA. RefSeq lists it as uncharacterized. NCBI's taxonomy places the organism in Eukaryota, Metazoa, Arthropoda, Copepoda, Calanoida, Temoridae. The transcript is spliced from 2 exons. The record is from RefSeq and is a predicted model, not a curated record.
AACAAAUUUAUCAACAUUUAAAAUUGUUUCUGGAGAAAAAUAAGGAUAAUCCGACUUAAUUGAUCAGUGAAAGGCCGGCUUAAAGGGUACCAUUGAGCAUCAGACACAACACUCUAAAAAAUGAACGGUCAAUUGAAAUAACGUUUAUUCCAAUUGGAGAGAAUUAAUAUCACGUGUAUUUUCCUGUAAUUUGAAAAUCUUCUGGUACAUCAUUUCUCAUAAUUGUCCUGGGACAUUUGUUGUACAAGCUGUACAAUACAGAAGAAAUUGAACAUAAUGUGUGAAUAUUCUCUCUCCCCCCCGCUCCUUACUGUACUGCAGGGACCCUGGAGAAGGAUAAAUUAUAUACAUAGAAUCCUGAUUGUAAACCGUAUAUGUACAGUGUAUACUGUACAACAAUAAAACUGAUUCAAAUACUUCAGUUUGCACUAACCUGCGCUGCAACUCUUACAUCAGAAUUAAUAUUCAGAAUCACUGGUAGAGGUUAGAGUGGGCGUUCCUCUUGUCCUCUCCUCCCCUUCAUACUUUGACUCUCUGCGUACUGAGAGCCUGGAGUAUAGAAGUAAGCUAGAGAUGACAACCUCGCCAACCCCCCUGGAAAGGUCGAGUACUCGUUUAUUUGUCCUUUUGUAUUGAAAUAAACGAUUGUACAAAUUUAUUGCAAAGCAGUCAUUUUCUAUCAGUGAAUGUACUGAAAUAAUUCUGAUUCAUUAAAGAGGUUUUUACGUAUAGAAUAGAUUAUCCUCUAUAAACUAAAUCUGGUCUAUACGACAACAUUCAUGAGAAGUAGUGUGUGGGUUGCCAAGAGAGAGCCUUCAUGUGGUGCAACCCACAGUGCUGCGAAGCACUGCAAAGCCUCUCAUCAAACUCUUCAGUUUUUGACAAGGAACCAAGAAAUCUUUCAGUCCAAUGUUUUUUGUAACUAAAGACCAGCUCCCUCCGGCGGGACUGGUCAGAAUGCUACUGCUGAUUGCCGGUAUAGAACCCAACCCGGGCCCUAUUCCUGGACGAGGAUGGAUCUGCAGUGUAUGUAACCAACAGAUAAACGAACAAACACAAACCUCAGUAAAGAGCAACAAAUGUAAUAACUGGUGCCACCUACGUAAAAAUAAAGAAACAAACUGCAGUCAACUUAAAUCAAUCAGAAAUUACUCACUUGUCUUCCAGUGCCCCACAUGCUGUGAUAGCGACAACACAACUAAUAAACAACCUAAUACUACAACAGUCUGUGAUAGCAACAACACAACUAGUCAACAACCUACCACAACAACUACCAGUCAACAACCUACUUAUCAACAGAGUAAAUCCAAAGAAAACAACCAA